RNAcentral lists this ribosomal RNA (253 nucleotides) under uncultured bacterium. RNAcentral's name for it is "partial 16S ribosomal RNA". It matches the Rfam family "Bacterial small subunit ribosomal RNA", at positions 524 to 776 of the family's 1533-position model. The record is from RNAcentral.
UACGAAGGGGGCUAGCGUUGCUCGGAAUCACUGGGCGUAAAGCGCACGUAGGCGGCUUCUUAAGUCAGGGGUGAAAUCCUGGAGCUCAACUCCAGAACUGCCUUUGAUACUGAGGAGCUUGAGUCCGGGAGAGGUGAGUGGAACUGCGAGUGUAGAGGUGAAAUUCGUAGAUAUUCGCAAGAACACCAGUGGCGAAGGCGGCUCACUGGCCCGGUACUGACGCUGAGGUGCGAAAGCCAGGGGAGCAAACGGG